RNAcentral lists this ribosomal RNA (429 nucleotides) under uncultured Bacillus sp. RNAcentral describes it as "bacterial SSU rRNA". It matches the Rfam family "Bacterial small subunit ribosomal RNA", at positions 929 to 1361 of the family's 1533-position model. Lineage: Bacteria; Bacillati; Bacillota; Bacilli; Caryophanales; Bacillaceae. The record is from RNAcentral.
CGGGCGGGGCGGGGGCACNCGGGGGGAACGNGAAGAACCUUACCAGGUCUUGACAUCCUCUGACAACUCUAGAGAUAGAGCGUUCCCCUUCGGGGGACAGAGUGACAGGUGGUGCAUGGUUGUCGUCAGCUCGUGUCGUGAGAUGUUGGGUUAAGUCCCGCAACGAGCGCAACCCUUGAUCUUAGUUGCCAGCAUUUAGUUGGGCACUCUAAGGUGACUGCCGGUGACAAACCGGAGGAAGGUGGGGAUGACGUCAAAUCAUCAUGCCCCUUAUGACCUGGGCUACACACGUGCUACAAUGGAUGGUACAAAGGGCUGCAAGACCGCGAGGUCAAGCCAAUCCCAUAAAACCAUUCUCAGUUCGGAUUGUAGGCUGCAACUCGCCUACAUGAAGCUGGAAUCGCUAGUAAUCGCGGAUCAGCAUGCGCG